Molecule: unclassified non-coding RNA, 273 nt
Filed under: plant metagenome
Description: partial contains small subunit ribosomal RNA, internal transcribed spacer 1, and 5.8S ribosomal RNA
Source: RNAcentral
GUUUCCGUAGGUGAACCUGCGGAAGGAUCAUUAAUGAGUUGUCAUGGGGUUCGAUGCUGGCAGCCAGUUUUUGGAUGCAUGUGCUUGCCCUAACAAUCAUCUUCUUCCAAACACCUGUGCACAUUUUUGAGGGAGUCUUGAGUUGGUUGCCGCUCUUGGGUGAUUUUCUCACAUUCCCUUAAAUCAUUAUACGCUGUUAACAAUGUUGAACGUGCUCUGUGCCGCAAGGCCAUUAAUAUAAUACAACUUUUAACAACGGAUCUCUUGGCUCUC